CCCUUAGAUGUUCUGGGCUGCACGCGCGCGACAAUGACGUUUGCAACGAGAUACGAGACCGAAAGGUUAAGUUGAUCUAGCAAGCUGCGUCGUGAUAGGGACUGUCGAUUGCAAUUAUUCGACACGAACGAGGAAUUCCUUGUAAUCGCACAUCAUCAGUGUGCGCUGAAUACGUCCCUGCCCUUUGUACACACCGCCCGUCGCUCCUACCGAUCGAGUGAUCCGGUGAAUGUUUUGGAUCGGUUGCAGGUUGCGCGACGCGCUUCUUGCAUGCUGUGAAAUCAUGUAAGCCUUAUUGCUUAGAGGAAGGAGAAGUCGUAACA
Molecule: ribosomal RNA, 323 nt
Filed under: uncultured eukaryote
Lineage: Eukaryota
Description: partial 18S ribosomal RNA
Rfam family: Eukaryotic small subunit ribosomal RNA
Source: RNAcentral